RNAcentral lists this microRNA precursor (195 nucleotides) under Oryza rufipogon (brownbeard rice). RNAcentral describes it as "MIR812 microRNA precursor family". It matches the Rfam family "MIR812 microRNA precursor family". The record is from Rfam by way of RNAcentral. Lineage: Eukaryota; Viridiplantae; Streptophyta; Magnoliopsida; Poales; Poaceae.
AAUAAAUAUAAUUUUACACUGUUCAUAUUUAAUGUUUGACCAUUUGUUUUAUUUGAUAAUCUUUUAUAAUUAAUAUUUUUAUUGUUAUUAGAUAAUAAAACAUGAAUGGUACUUUAUGCGUGACUACUUUUUCUAAUUUUUCAAAUAAGAUGAACGGUCAAACGUUGGACACAGAUACCAACGGCUGCACUUAUU